This 465-nucleotide ribosomal RNA is filed under the name Vreelandella stevensii. RNAcentral describes it as "partial 16S ribosomal RNA". It matches the Rfam family "Bacterial small subunit ribosomal RNA", at positions 338 to 795 of the family's 1533-position model. The record is from RNAcentral. Lineage: Bacteria; Pseudomonadati; Pseudomonadota; Gammaproteobacteria; Oceanospirillales; Halomonadaceae.
CCUACGGGUGGCUGCAGUGGGGAAUAUUGGACAAUGGGGGGAACCCUGUUCCAGCCAUGCCGCGUGUGUGAAGAAGGCCCUCGGGUUGUAAAGCACUUUCAGUGAGGAAGAACGCCUGGUGGUUAAUACCCAUCAGGAAAGACAUCACUCACAGAAGAAGCACCGGCUAACUCCGUGCCAGCAGCCGCGGUAAUACGGAGGGUGCGAGCGUUAAUCGGAAUUACAGGGCGUAAAGCGCGCGUAGGUGGCUUGAUAAGCCGGUUGUGAAAGCCCCGGGCUCAACCUGGGAACGGCAUCCGGAACUGUCAAGCUAGAGUGCAGGAGAGGAAGGUAGAAUUCCCGGUGUAGCGGUGAAAUGCGUAGAGAUCGGGAGGAAUACCAGUGGCGAAGGCGGCCUUCUGGACUGACACUGACACUGAGGUGCGAAAGCGUGGGUAGCAAACAGGAUUAGAUACCCCAGUAGUC